AUCUCAAGGCAUAUAGGUUUAAGGGGACGCUAGGCAGGCCUACCAUAGAUUGAGGAGAAGGAGAUGCGUAUUUUACUGUUAUAAUUCAGUUGAGUGCGUUACGACCAUGGUAUAUGUGUAUAAGAGGAGUAAUUCCUGAUCUUCCCAGUUGCCUAUUAAGUUGCUAAAGCUUUUGUUUGGCAUACCGCACCUUGCAUCGAUACACCUUUUGCCUGCAGUUACAACAAUUGCAAGAGAGCGGCACCCACAGUGAGAGUAAGAGCCAAAGAGUGCAGUGCUCUGUGCAAAAAACUGCCACGCAAAAAGGCGGCCGGCUUGUAGGUGCCCCCUCUGUCUACCCUUCCCUCUUACCAACACCUACUCAUAUGUGUGGUACUGCAGCUCUCCCUUCGCUGCACUUCGUCUUCUCGUAUGAGUGUGUCUGUGUGCGAUGCACUUGGUGCGAUUCAUUUGCUUUUAUUACCAUUUCUUGCUUCACCCUUUCCCCCUCGGCCCCAACCACUCGCCGUCGCUGCGUUGGCGUCGCUGACGCCGCCAUCCUCUCUCUCUUGCGUAGGGGGGACUUUCCGUAUAUAAGGUGGCAACCCUGGCCCGGACAUAAUGCGUUGGAGAAUCAGUUCUGUACCCUUUUCGGCCAGUCGGGAGCGCGACUUUGAAUUGCAUGGAACGGUGCCGUAUCGGGGAAACACUGCAAUUGCAAAAAGAGAAAGAGAACUUUAUAAAAAUAAAUUACCAAAGACAUUCCAAAAAAAUAUAAAAUGCCAGCGGCAAUGACAAUAAUUCAAUGCAAAAGUGUGUGCAAAACAAGUGGAAAACUGUUUUUGAAAAAGCAAUGAUCUGAUAGUGGAAAAAGAAAAGAGUGCGACACCAUGCCCCUCGCUGGGCCAAAGGACAAUGGUUCAAGUGCAAAGAAGAUGCCGCCCAGCACGACGAGCAUGCAACAAGGACGGAGCGACAUGCAAGGACAUUACGAGCGAGCGAAAUGCCGUGAUUAUAAAGAGGAAGGACAGGAAUGGAAUGGAAUGCAAAGAUGUAGGAUGAAACUUGGAUACAAAGAAGUAGGAAUAGAAAUAAAUAAUUCCCAAAACCAAGAAUAAUAUAUGGAGAUUAUGGAGUCACAAAGGAGGAACAAAAGAGGAACUUCUGCCGCUCCAGAAAGGAAUUUCACAACUUUAUCAAAUACUAAAUGGAUUAAACACGUUCUUCCACCCCAAAGAGGGUUGUUUUGUCUCCUCUUCAUCCUCCGAUUUCAGAUGGAUAAAUGGAUAAAAAAGUUUAUAAAACAAUAAAACAGAGAAACAAAAUGGUGCAUACUUAUAUAUGGACCAUUAACAGAAACCCGUAAUUCCGAACUUGUGCUGUUUUAUAUCUGUUACAAGACCGGCAUUAUGGGAGUCUGUCAAUGCAAACAACUGGUUUUUGGCAACAAAAUUUAUCACAAAUUUUCGAAAAACAUACCUUUUGCAUACAAAUUGAAGGAUAAUGGAAAUACCAACACAUCGCAUAGGAAAUUGUUAAUCGUUGAGGAAUUUCAAUAUUCAUCGAGUAUAAAGGACAAGGUUAAAUGGAAAGAAUAAAUUUAAAAAAUAAAUGCAGUAUUAAUUAUAAAAGGAAUAUACUUAAAUGUAUUGACAAUCAGUGCAGUGCCAGAAAACUUAAACUUAAACUAACGAUGGAAUAAUCAAGUGAGCGUUAAAUAAAUAAUGUAAAGAUUGGCUGAAAAUAUUCUUAAAUGGUGCAUUAAUGAAUCAAUGGAAAACAUAAAAUUUCCAUAGAAAUAUAAGUCCCAUUAACCAUCUAGAGAACUUAAAUGAAUCAUCAUUUAUUGAUCAUUUACUAUAAAUUAUUCAAAUCCAUCGAAAAGUGUGAUUUAAUCAAUAUAAACUAAAUGAACAAAUAUUUAAAAAUCAAUAUUAAAUGACUGAAAAGAUUAGAAUUUAUUCAAUUCAUAAGAACAUUUCGUGAGAACAAGCAAAUAGUUUUCAUCUUUAAAGUAUUUUCUUUAGUACCUGAUAUUCUUUAGAACGAAACCAAAAGAUCCCAUUACAUACUCCAUAUAAUUUGUCACCAUUUUGUUACUUUUAUGUUUUUGGCAAAAAUUUGUUUAACCACAAAACCGAAUAAACCCAAAGAAUCCUAAAACCGCAAACCAUAAGCCCAACAAAAAGGACCAGCACCAAGGACCUUUUUCUCUCUGGCAAAUUGAGGUAGUAGGUUGUAUAGUAGUACUUCAGAUCGUACUAUACAAUGUGCUAGCUUUCUUUGCUUGACUAUAAGCCUCAUUUGAACAGCCCAGCCCCCCGCCCCGAACAGCUCCCGUACGCCCCCCCCAGCUCCGAACAAAGUGUGGAACCAAAAAAAUAUACAAACCGAAAAGAAAUACAAAAGUGGUGCUGCGAAAUGCGAAGUAAUGCGCGAAUUGUUCUUGAAAUUGGAAUCGAUGCGAAUGUCGAAUUGCGUCUGCAUCUGCAUCUGCGUCUGCAUCUGAGAUUAUUGUAUUUGCAUAAACGUCCGAGUAUCCAAGUAUCCGAGUAGUCCCGAGUAUUGGUAUGAGUGACAUGUGCAAAUGUUUGUAUGGCUGAUUCCCUGAGACCCUAACUUGUGACUUUUAAUACCAGUUUCACAAGUUUUGAUCUCCGGUAUUGGACGCAAACUUGCUGAUGUUAUACAAAAAAAAAGCAAAAAGAAAAGCAAAAAUGCAAAAACUGAAUGAUUACAGAAGAAUCCGGAUGUGAGUAUGGGUAAAAAAGUAAUAAGACAUUCUUAUGGAGGUACAUAUUUAUUGAAAAUUGAUGCACAAGUAUUCGAAUGCUGUGGAAUUUCUUGUAAUGUAACAUUCAGCCCACAGAGAAAUGCAGAAUUUUUUGGAUACGAAUAUGGAUAUGAAUAUUCACAGAUUACUAAAAGGGUAACUAAAGGUUUGCUGUAACUACUGGUAAAGGUAUUGUGAAGUAUUCGGAACUUUGCGGUUUUUGUAUUAAUACUAUACUUCUUUAACCCACAGACAGAAGAAACACAGGACUGGAUAAAAAAGAUCUGCCAACUGCUAGAAAAACUCAAGUAUUGGUUGAGAGAGCACGCCUCAAAGCUAGAAUUACUAACGGAUAAAGUUCCAUACUUCCAUUACAUGUUCCAUACACAGUACACAUCAAUCAACCCACAGAGGAAGUUCUUUUUAUUUGGCAUAAAAUGUCCUAGGAUGCCCAUCUUAUAUAGUUUUUAAGUAUUCUUCUUAAAGAGUGAUGAAAACUCUGAGACAUUCACAGAAAAUGAUUGUUUCUUUGAUUGACUCGGAAUAAUCUUCUUUAUGACCAAAAUUUUAAUAUUCUUUAAACACAAAAUGCCCUUCUUCACAUCUUUUGGCAGUCAAGAAUAUUCAUUCCAUUGGGAUUUACUUUAAUCUUAUAUGUAUUAGCUCUAAGCUCAAGAAGUAUUGAACUCGUUUUACGAUUAGUCCUAAAAUAUCUUUGAUUUGUAGAUAAAAUAGUUCAUAGAAUCCUUUAUGAAACACAUAUCGCAAAUUCUAGAUCUAUGUUCUAUCAUAAGGAAUAAUAUUGAUACAUUAUACAUAUAUUUCCACUAGUUCCCCUCAAAAAUCAUUCAAAAGACGCUCCAGAUAUAUACUUAAUAACAAAAUAUUUAUUGUUAGCCCAAAGAUGGGCAAAUAUUCUCUCUGAAACCACACAUAUAAAACAAAAUAUGAUUUAAAAUUGGCUUAACUACGAUAUGAACUACAUUCUAAGUACUAGAGAUGUGAGAUGUGAAUAAAUUCAUGAAACAUAGUCGACUUUAAUCUGAACAAUUUAAUUGUCUAGAGAGUACAAAAAGGUAUAAAGAUAUACGAUAUAGAUGUAUUGGAUUGAUUGGAUUGGAUUGGAG
Drosophila miranda is the source of this 3879-nucleotide long non-coding RNA. RefSeq lists it as uncharacterized. Lineage: Eukaryota; Metazoa; Arthropoda; Insecta; Diptera; Drosophilidae. The record is from RefSeq and is a predicted model, not a curated record. The transcript is spliced from 4 exons.